This 413-nucleotide unclassified non-coding RNA is filed under the name soil metagenome. Its description in RNAcentral is "partial contains 5.8S ribosomal RNA, internal transcribed spacer 2, and large subunit ribosomal RNA". The stretch from base 1 to 120 matches the Rfam family "5.8S ribosomal RNA", at positions 35 to 154 of the family's 154-position model. The record is from RNAcentral.
GAUGAAGAACGUAGCGAAAUGCGAUAAGUAAUGUGAAUUGCAGAAUUCAGUGAAUCAUCGAAUCUUUGAACGCACCUUGCGCUCUUUGGUAUUCCGAAGAGCAUGCCUGUUUGAGUGUCAUGAAAAUAUCAACCUUGACUUGGGUUUUGUGCUCUAGUCUCGGCUUGGAAUUGGGUGCUUGCCGCUUUUACGAGCGGCUCACCUUAAAUGUAUUAGCUGGAUCUGUCUUUGAGACUUGGUUUGACUUGGCGUAAUAAGUAUUUCGCUAAGGACAUUCUUCGGAGUGGCCUCGUUUCUAGGUCGCUUGUCCGCUUUCCAAUACAAGUUCCACCUCGUGGACAUGACUUUUUAUUAUCUGGCCUCAAAUCAGGUAGGACUACCCGCUGAACUUAAGCAUAUCAAUAAGCGGAGGA